AGUCGAGCGGUAGCACAGAGAGCUUGCUCUUGGGUGACGAGCGGCGGACGGGUGAGUAACGCGUAGAAAUCUACCCGGUAGUUGGGGAUAGCCCGGAGAAAUCCGGAUUAAUACCGAAUAAUCUCUGAGGAGGAAAGUGGGGGACCUUUCGGGGCCUCACGCUAUUGGAUGAGUCUGCGUCGGAUUAGCUAGUUGGUGGGGUAAAGGCCUACCAAGGCGACGAUCCGUAGCUGGUCUGAGAGGAUGAUCAGCCACACUGGGACUGAGACACGGCCCAGACUCCUACGGGAGGCAGCAGUGGGGAAUAUUGGACAAUGGGGGCAACCCUGAUCCAGCCAUGCCGCGUGUGUGAAGAAGGCUUUCGGGUUGUAAAGCACUUUCAGUGGUGAGGAAGGGUGUGUUGUUAAUAGCGACAUACAUUGACGUUAGCCACAGAAGAAGCACCGGCUAACUCCGUGCCAGCAGCCGCGGUAAUACGGAGGGUGCGAGCGUUAAUCGGAAUUACUGGGCGUAAAGCGCGCGUAGGCGGUGUGUUAAGUGAGAUGUGAAAUCCCCGGGCUCAACCUGGGAAUUGCCUCUUAUACUGGCACGCUAGAGUAUGGCAGAGGUGAGUAGAAUUCCCGGUGUAGCGGUGAAAUGCGUAGAGAUCGGGAGGAAUACCAGUGGCGAAGGCGGCUCACUGGGGCUAUACUGACGC
Molecule: ribosomal RNA, 697 nt
Filed under: bacterium SVAL2.25
Lineage: Bacteria
Description: bacterial SSU rRNA
Rfam family: Bacterial small subunit ribosomal RNA
Source: RNAcentral